RNAcentral lists this ribosomal RNA (660 nucleotides) under Triticum aestivum (bread wheat). Its description in RNAcentral is "partial small subunit ribosomal RNA". The record is from RNAcentral. Lineage: Eukaryota; Viridiplantae; Streptophyta; Magnoliopsida; Poales; Poaceae.
AUGAUCGACGGCGACGCCAACGCCAACGCCGCCGGCGCGCAGAAGUUCAACCAGGGCCUCUUCGACCGCAUCGUCGCCGGCAAGGGCACCCCGCGCCGGCCCCAGAUGCCCGACGUCUACGUCUUCGCGCUGCUGGACGAGGACGCCAAGAGCGUCGACCCCGGCAACUUCGAGCGCCACUGGGGCGUCUUCAACUACGACGGCUCGCCCAAGUACGCGCUCCGCCUCGCCGGCGGCAAGGGCAUCGUGCCGGCCAAGGGCGUCAGGUACCUGUCCAAGCAGUGGUGCGUGCUCCGCCCCGACGCCAGCCCCACCGACCCGGCCAUCGUGGGUGCCGUGGGGUACGCGUGCCAGUAUGCCGACUGCACCAGCCUCAGCCCCGGCUCCUCCUGCGGCGGCCUCGACGUCAGGGGCAACGUCUCCUACGCCUUCAACCAGUUCUUCCAGUCAGCCAGCCAGCAGAAGGGAUCCUGCGGCUUCAACAACCUCUCCGUGGUCACCACCACCGACCCGUCGCGGGGCACCUGCCGCUUCAAGAUCAUGAUCGACACCGGCCGGCACGACCUCACCCACCAGGACGACUCCGGCGCCGCCAGGGCCGCCGCCGCGUGGGGCGCCGUCGUCGCCAUGCUCGCAUUGCUCGCCAUCGUGGCACUCUGA